Molecule: ribosomal RNA, 881 nt
Filed under: Bacillaceae bacterium MOLA 446
Lineage: Bacteria; Bacillati; Bacillota; Bacilli; Caryophanales; Bacillaceae
Description: bacterial SSU rRNA
Rfam family: Bacterial small subunit ribosomal RNA
Source: RNAcentral
UCAUGGCUCAGGACGAACGCUGGCGGCGUGCCUAAUACAUGCAAGUCGAGCGGAUCUUUGGGAGCUUGCUCCCAAAGAUUAGCGGCGGACGGGUGAGUAACACGUGGGUAACCUGCCUGUAAGAUUGGGAUAACUCCGGGAAACCGGAGCUAAUACCGGAUAACAUUUUGAACCGCAUGGUUCGAAAUUGAAAGGUGGCUUUUGCUACCACUUACAGAUGGACCCGCGGCGCAUUAGCUAGUUGGUGAGGUAAUGGCUCACCAAGGCAACGAUGCGUAGCCGACCUGAGAGGGUGAUCGGCCACACUGGGACUGAGACACGGCCCAGACUCCUACGGGAGGCAGCAGUAGGGAAUCUUCCGCAAUGGACGAAAGUCUGACGGAGCAACGCCGCGUGAGUGAUGAAGGCCUUCGGGUCGUAAAGCUCUGUUGUUAGGGAAGAACAAGUACCGUUCAAAUAGGGCGGUACCAUGACGGUACCUAACCAGAAAGCCACGGCUAACUACGUGCCAGCAGCCGCGGUAAUACGUAGGUGGCAAGCGUUGUCCGGAAUUAUUGGGCGUAAAGGGCUCGCAGGCGGUUCCUUAAGUCUGAUGUGAAAGCCCACGGCUCAACCGUGGAGGGUCAUUGGAAACUGGGGAACUUGAGUACAGAAGAGGAGAGUGGAAUUCCACGUGUAGCGGUGAAAUGCGUAGAGAUGUGGAGGAACACCAGUGGCGAAGGCGACUCUCUGGUCUGUAACUGACGCUGAGGAGCGAAAGCGUGGGGAGCGAACAGGAUUAGAUACCCUGGUAGUCCACGCCGUAAACGAUGAGUGCUAAGUGUUAGAGGGUUUCCGCCCUUUAGUGCUGCAGCAAACGCAUUAAGCACUCCGCCUGGGGA